UACGUAGGGGGCAAGCGUUGUCCGGAAUUAUUGGGCGUAAAGAGCUCGUAGGCGGUUUGUCGCGUCGAAUGUGAAAACCCGGGGCUCAACUCCGGGCCUGCAUUCGAUACGGGCAGACUAGAGUUCGGUAGGGGAGACUGGAAUUCCUGGUGUAGCGGUGAAAUGCGCAGAUAUCAGGAGGAGCACCGGUGGCGAAGGCGGGUCUCUGGGCUGACACUGACGCUGAUGCGCGAAAGCUAGGGGAGCGAACGGG
RNAcentral lists this ribosomal RNA (253 nucleotides) under uncultured bacterium. RNAcentral's name for it is "partial 16S ribosomal RNA". It matches the Rfam family "Bacterial small subunit ribosomal RNA", at positions 524 to 776 of the family's 1533-position model. The record is from RNAcentral.